This 120-nucleotide non-coding RNA is filed under the name Ipomoea nil (Japanese morning glory). Its description in RNAcentral is "Eukaryotic large subunit ribosomal RNA". It matches the Rfam family "Eukaryotic large subunit ribosomal RNA", at positions 3281 to 3401 of the family's 3401-position model. Lineage: Eukaryota; Viridiplantae; Streptophyta; Magnoliopsida; Solanales; Convolvulaceae. The record is from Rfam by way of RNAcentral.
CGAUCGAGCGGCGAGCUGAAUCCUUUGCAGACGACUUAAAUACGCGACGGGGUAUUGUAAGGGUAGAGUGGCCUUGCUGCACGAUCCUCUGAGAUUCAGCCCUUUGUCGCUCCGAUUCGU